RNAcentral lists this ribosomal RNA (488 nucleotides) under uncultured bacterium. RNAcentral's name for it is "bacterial SSU rRNA". It matches the Rfam family "Bacterial small subunit ribosomal RNA", at positions 501 to 987 of the family's 1533-position model. The record is from RNAcentral.
CUACGUGCCAGCAGCCRCGGUAAUACGUAGGUGGCGAGCGUUAUCCGGAAUUAUUGGGYGUAAAGGGUGCGUAGGCGGCCUGUUAAGUAAGUGGUUAAAUUGUUGGGCUCAACCCAAUCCAGCCACUUAAACUGGCAGGCUAGAGUAUUGGAGAGGAAAGUGGAAUUCCUAGUGUAGCGGUGAAAUGCGUAGAUAUUAGGAAGAACACCAGUGGCGAAGGCGACUUUCUGGACGAAAACUGACGCUGAGACGCGAAAGCAUGGGGAGCGAACAGGAUUAGAUACCGUGGUAGUCCAUGCCGUAAACGUUGGGCACUAGGUGUGGGGGACAUUCCACGUUUUCCGCGCCGUAGCUAACGCAUUAAGUGCCCCGCCUGGGGAGUACGGCCGCAAGGCUAAAACUCAAAGAAAUUGACGGGGGCCCGCACAAGCGGCGGAGCAUGCGGAUUAAUUCGAUGCAACGCGAAGAACCUUACCAAGGCUUGACAU